RNAcentral lists this unclassified non-coding RNA (233 nucleotides) under plant metagenome. Its description in RNAcentral is "partial contains small subunit ribosomal RNA, internal transcribed spacer 1, and 5.8S ribosomal RNA". The record is from RNAcentral.
UUUCCGUAGGUGAACCUGCGGAAGGAUCAUUACUGAGUGAGGGCCCUCUGGGUCCAACCUCCCACCCGUGUUUAUUAUACCUUGUUGCUUCGGUGAGCCCGCCUCACGGCCGCCGGGGGGCAUCUGCCCCCGGGCCCGCGCCCACCGAAGACACCUAGAACUCUGUAUGAAGAUUGCAGCCUGAGCAAAAACUAAAUAAGUUAAAACUUUCAACAACGGAUCUCUUGGUUCCG